UGGCGAACGGGUGAGUAAUAUAUCGGAACGUGCCCAGUAAUGGGGGAUAGCCCGGCGAAAGCCGGAUUAAUACCGCAUACGACCUACGGGUGAAAGCAGGGGAUCGCAAGACCUUGCGUUAUUGGAGCGGCCGAUAUCAGAUUAGCUUGUUGGUGGGGUAAAAGCCCACCAAGGCGACGAUCUGUAGCUGGUCUGAGAGGACGACCAGCCACACUGGGACUGAGACACGGCCCAA
This 235-nucleotide ribosomal RNA is filed under the name uncultured bacterium. Its description in RNAcentral is "partial 16S ribosomal RNA". It matches the Rfam family "Bacterial small subunit ribosomal RNA", at positions 96 to 334 of the family's 1533-position model. The record is from RNAcentral.